Tachysurus vachellii is the source of this 2910-nucleotide long non-coding RNA. RefSeq lists it as uncharacterized. The record is from RefSeq and is a predicted model, not a curated record. Lineage: Eukaryota; Metazoa; Chordata; Actinopteri; Siluriformes; Bagridae. The transcript has 2 exons.
UUCAAAUUUAUUUGUAUAGCGCUAAAAUUUUUUACAAUUGACCAUGUCUCAAAGCAGCUUUACAGAACAUUUUUUCCUGAAGAUUCUGAAUCUUGUGGCCAGAAAAUUGUACGAAAGUUUCAAUAUGUAAGGAGAAUUACAGAUAUUUAGCAAAAUGUAACUUCAAUCCAUCUAUUUACACUGAUGCUCAACUUAUGUAAGGUCGCCAGGGAACCUGGGGCUUAUCCCAAGAGACUCGGGGCACAAGGCAUGGGACAUGAUGGACAGGGUCCAAACACAUCUCAGGGCACAAUCACAUACACUAGAGAUCAUUUAGAGAUGCCAGUCAGUAUACAACCUGCAUGUCUUCUGACUGGAGGAGGAAACCCUGAUACUCCACAUACACCGGGAGAAGGUGGGAAUCGAACACCAAACCCUGGAGAGUUUUAUUUACAAAAAAACUCCUCUUUCUACAUGGUUCCUGUUUCUUUGUAAAAACACACAUCCUGGGACACACGGCUCCUAGUUUGGCAACACUGUCACAUUCCUUUUUAAUCCUAUUUAUCCUUAAUCAACCUACGAACAAUUUUGGAAGACAUUUUGUUAAAAUGUGUUAGUUGGAGACUGACUGUAUAUCAAACAGAAAGCUACAGGGUACAAGAUGAAUAGGGGAUUUCGUUCCGUGACCCGUGUUCGAAUGGCUUCAAACUUGGAUAGACAUCAUUUUCCACCAGCGAGCUCGCUCACGUCUCCUCCAGGUUUGCGGCUCAGGUUUACACCUUCUGGAUUUUGGCACUCUUUAUCUCCAUCCACUUUCAGCACUUCCUGAUCUAAUGUAGCUGCAUUAUAAUAUUACUUAUCCUCUAUUAUUUUCUCUUCGACUCGGCUUUCGGGAGGUCGGAGUUCUCUGAAAGUUUGACGUGAACUGCAAAAGUUUUCACCCCCUUUUCCGUCUUCCUCCGACUCAGACUAUACGUCUUAACUAACUCUUAAUUUUUCCUUUCCUUUGUUGCUUUGCAUUUUUUUAAAUUAGUUUUCUAUUUUUUUUCCCAUUAUUAUUUCAAUGCCGUCUAAUUAAACACGUGUACCUGUUUCCCACAUUCAAAUCAUUCAAAUGUUCCUGAAGAAGAAACAGGAUUAAAAAGUGGUUUUGUUUUAUUUCAUAACGUUCCAGUGGAAGUGGUGAGCCGAUAAGAGUGGUGCAAACUGGACUGAACUGUCAAAAUGGACCAUUCUGGGACAGAAAACACACACACACACACACACACACACACACACACACAGCUCAUGGCUUUUCCCAGCUGCUACUGACCGAACCAAGCUGUGCAGCCAAUCAGCAACCAGCAUAAAGCUACUUACUCCAUUUUUUUUGUGCUAGAAGACCCUCCUAUGCACCAUAUCGUCUACAACUGGCUGUAGCUGCCCAGCGCAAAGGGCAAAACUAUUUUGUUGGUAAUGGAAUUUAUGUCAGGGGAUAAAUGGAGCUGUGACGCUCUAAUGCAGGAUGAGACUCGCGGAGGGAGCAAGAGAUAGUGGCAUAGUUUUUAAUGGACACCCUCAUAAAUGAAUCAUCACAUGUGUGCCUUGCCUUUUUUAUUCUCCCUGUACACUCACACUCACACAAACACUUAACACAUCUGGCAAGCCGGCACCCCAUUUAAAUAGAAAUGCAAUAUAAUAUCUUUUUUAUUUUUUUUAAUUUGUGCUGUAAAUAACAGUUUGUGUUGGUUGGGUUUCUUAGAUUACUCUAACCGCUAGAUUUCAGUGUACGGAGCCAUGUAUCACUCAGUUCACGACCAAACUAAAACAUUGUAAAAUCUAUUUCACGUAGGUGUUUUUUACUUUGACAAAAAGAAAAAAGAAGACAAUUUUCAUCUACAGUAUAUGCAUGAAUGUUAUUGGUGCAGUUACUUUCAUUCACUCAUCCUUAGGAACUGCCUGGUCAGAGCUGCUGUGGUUUUAGUGAGGUUUGUUUAUAUUCAAGGAAAUAGAAACUAUAUACAGUAGAAGCCUUUAUUUUGUUUUCACAUAUCCAUUACAGCACAGUGAAUUUCUUUCUUUGCAUAUCACAACUUUUGGAGGUUGGGGUCAGAAUACAGGGUCAGCGGUCCUGGAACAGUAAGAGGUAAAGACCUUGAUCAAGGGUCCAACAGUGGCAGCUUGGCAGUGCUGGGGCUUGAACCCUGAUCCUACAAUCAACAAGGCAUGGAUGCUUGCCCAUUUUAAGAAAGGCCACUUUACUCACACUUAAUUAACAUAGAAAAUAUUACAGGUGCAAAGACAACUAAAACGGAACGAGUGGGAUUGAAAAAAAAACUCCCAGGAUUAGGCCACGCCCACUCCGGGUUCAAAUCUGAAUAGAGAUAUAUUAGAGCACUAGACUAAGACUGAGGGUAGAUAGAUCACUAACACUCAACACUGAAUAACGCAAUAAAAUCUCAAAAACCAAACUGGCACAAACCGUCAUUUCUACAACACAAACUGAAUGUGAUUUUUAAUUUUUUUUCUUAUAAGGAAUGGGUCAACUUCACACUGGUACUAGAAGAGUGAAAUAUAAAGUACAGAGUUUAUUAUACACACACAAACUACACUCAUGUCUUUAAUCUGACUCUGUUCUACUUUUCUAUCUGUCUUUAAAAGUAAUGUAUACUGUAUGUUGUUAGUUUUGGUAGAACGUUAUGAGUCUGAGACACGAGUGUGAUGUGAUUCUGACGCUUCUGUAUUCAGGCUCAUGGAUUAGACCCCGAGUUCUAGCUACGUGCACGUAAGCACCGCUUCAUAAUCCACUUCUGUUCAUUCAGAGCAGCCUUAUGGCUCUUUUCUUUUUUUUUUGUAUGAUAUCUUAGAAGUCUUGCUGGAAUGGUAUGUGAUGUACCAAGUAAGUAAAAGAUUUUUAUCACUCGUGAAAAUACAAAAUUUGAAUGUAUCUGA